AGCGUACACGGUGGAUGCCCUGGCAGUCAGAGGCGAUGAAGGACGUGCUAAUCUGCGAUAAGCGUCGGUAAGGUGAUAUGAACCGUUAUAACCGGCGAUUUCCGAAUGGGGAAACCCAGUGUGUUUCGACACACUAUCAUUAACUGAAUCCAUAGGUUAAUGAGGCGAACCGGGGGAACUGAAACAUCUAAGUACCCCGAGGAAAAGAAAUCAACCGAGAUUCCCCCAGUAGCGGCGAGCGAACGGGGAGCAGCCCAGAGUCUGAAUCAGCUUGUGUGUUAGUGGAACGGUCUGGAAAGUCCGACGGUACAGGGUGAUAGUCCCGUACACCAAAAUGCACAGGUUGUGAACUCGAAGAGUAGGGCGGGACACGUGGUAUCCUGUCUGAAUAUGGGGGGACCAUCCUCCAAGGCUAAAUACUCCUGACUGACCGAUAGUGAACCAGUACCGUGAGGGAAAGGCGAAAAGAACCCCGGCGAGGGGAGUGAAAAAGAACCUGAAACCGUGUACGUACAAGCAGUGGGAGCACGCUUAGGCGUGUGACUGCGUACCUUUUGUAUAAUGGGUCAGCGACUUAUAUUCUGUAGCAAGGUUAACCGUAUAGGGGAGCCGCAGGGAAACCGAGUCUUAACUGGGCGUUAAGUUGCAGGGUAUAGACCCGAAACCCGGUGAUCUAGCCAUGGGCAGGUUGAAGGUUGGGUAACACUAACUGGAGGACCGAACCGACUAAUGUUGAAAAAUUAGCGGAUGACUUGUGGCUGGGGGUGAAAGGCCAAUCAAACCGGGAGAUAGCUGGUUCUCCCCGAAAGCUAUUUAGGUAGCGCCUCGUGAACUCAUCUUCGGGGGUAGAGCACUGUUUCGGCUAGGGGGUCAUCCCGACUUACCAACCCGAUGCAAACUACGAAUACCGAAGAAUGUUAUCACGGGAGACACACGGCGGGUGCUAACGUCCGUCGUGAAGAGGGAAACAACCCAGACCGCCAGCUAAGGUCCCAAAGUCAUGGUUAAGUGGGAAACGAUGUGGGAAGGCCCAGACAGCCAGGAUGUUGGCUUAGAAGCAGCCAUCAUUUAAAGAAAGCGUAAUAGCUCACUGGUCGAGUCGGCCUGCGCGGAAGAUGUAACGGGGCUAAACCAUGCACCGAAGCUGCGGCAGCGACACUAUGUGUUGUUGGGUAGGGGAGCGUUCUGUAAGCCUGCGAAGGUGGCCUGUGAGGGUUGCUGGAGGUAUCAGAAGUGCGAAUGCUGACAUAAGUAACGAUAAAGCGGGUGAAAAGCCCGCUCGCCGGAAGACCAAGGGUUCCUGUCCAACGUUAAUCGGGGCAGGGUGAGUCGACCCCUAAGGCGAGGCCGAAAGGCGUAGUCGAUGGGAAACAGGUUAAUAUUCCUGUACUUGGUGUUACUGCGAAGGGGGGACGGAGAAGGCUAUGUUAGCCGGGCGACGGUUGUCCCGGUUUAAGCAUGUAGGCGGAGGUUCCAGGUAAAUCCGGUACCUUUUAACGCUGAGGUGUGAUGACGAGGCACUACGGUGCUGAAGUAACAAAUGCCCUGCUUCCAGGAAAAGCCUCUAAGCAUCAGGUAACAUUAAAUCGUACCCCAAACCGACACAGGUGGUCAGGUAGAGAAUACCAAGGCGCUUGAGAGAACUCGGGUGAAGGAACUAGGCAAAAUGGUGCCGUAACUUCGGGAGAAGGCACGCUGAUAUGUAGGUGAAGUCCCUCGCGGAUGGAGCUGAAAUCAGUCGAAGAUACCAGCUGGCUGCAACUGUUUAUUAAAAACACAGCACUGUGCAAACACGAAAGUGGACGUAUACGGUGUGACGCCUGCCCGGUGCCGGAAGGUUAAUUGAUGGGGUUAUCCGUAAGGAGAAGCUCUUGAUCGAAGCCCCGGUAAACGGCGGCCGUAACUAUAACGGUCCUAAGGUAGCGAAAUUCCUUGUCGGGUAAGUUCCGACCUGCACGAAUGGCGUAAUGAUGGCCAGGCUGUCUCCACCCGAGACUCAGUGAAAUUGAACUCGCUGUGAAGAUGCAGUGUACCCGCGGCAAGACGGAAAGACCCCGUGAACCUUUACUAUAGCUUGACACUGAACAUUGAGCCUUGAUGUGUAGGAUAGGUGGGAGGCUUUGAAGUGUGGACGCCAGUCUGCAUGGAGCCGACCUUGAAAUACCACCCUUUAAUGUUUGAUGUUCUAACGUUGACCCGUAAUCCGGGUUGCGGACAGUGUCUGGUGGGUAGUUUGACUGGGGCGGUCUCCUCCUAAAGAGUAACGGAGGAGCACGAAGGUUGGCUAAUCCUGGUCGGACAUCAGGAGGUUAGUGCAAUGGCAUAAGCCAGCUUGACUGCGAGCGUGACGGCGCGAGCAGGUGCGAAAGCAGGUCAUAGUGAUCCGGUGGUUCUGAAUGGAAGGGCCAUCGCUCAACGGAUAAAAGGUACUCCGGGGAUAACAGGCUGAUACCGCCCAAGAGUUCAUAUCGACGGCGGUGUUUGGCACCUCGAUGUCGGCUCAUCACAUCCUGGGGCUGUAGUCGGUCCCAAGGGUAUGGCUGUUCGCCAUUUAAAGUGGUACGCGAGCUGGGUUCAAAACGUCGUGAGACAGUUUGGUCCCUAUCUACCGCGGGCGUUGGAUGAUUGCAGGGACUUGCUCCUAGUACGAGAGGACCGGAGUGAACGAACCUCUGGUUUACGGGUUGUCAUGCCAAUGGCACGGCCCGGCAGCCAAGUUCGGACCUGAUAACCGCUGAAAGCAUCUAAGCGGGAAGCAGGCCCUAAGAUGAGUCAUCCCUGACUUUAAGUCAAUAAAGACCGUUGAAGACUACGACGUUGAUAGGCUGGAUGUGGAAGUCCUGUGAGGGAUGUAGCUUGCCAGUACUAAUGUUCUGAGAGUCUUGACC
Molecule: ribosomal RNA, 2888 nt
Filed under: human gut metagenome
Description: bacterial LSU rRNA
Rfam family: Bacterial large subunit ribosomal RNA
Source: RNAcentral